Cavia porcellus (domestic guinea pig) is the source of this 3839-nucleotide long non-coding RNA. RefSeq lists it as uncharacterized. The record is from RefSeq and is a predicted model, not a curated record. Lineage: Eukaryota; Metazoa; Chordata; Mammalia; Rodentia; Caviidae. The transcript is spliced from 4 exons.
CUGGAUACCAAUCGAAAGAAAGGCUCUGUGGAGAGGAGAAUUUUGUCAGGGAGGGUAUCAGACGCCGAAGUGACAAGCUUGAGGCCAAGAGGAACAUCUGCUGGCUCGAGUCCUCAAAGACAGCACGCCUUCUUGGUCCCCAGAAUUCUCAGAGUGCAUGAUCUUGAAGAUCUGACUCUCUGGGCAGCUUUGGAAGAACUGACUCAUGGGAAAUAACCCUGAAUUCCUGGGAGAUGAAGGUGAGAAGGCCCAGCAUACAAAGUAAACAGAUGGACGUCACACCGUCACAGGCAGAGGGAGCCUGGCCGCAGCCGCGGUCACUCGGCAGCCGCUUUGAGCCACAGAGCACACUCAGUGAGGCCUGGAGCCUGAAGACAAACAGGCUUCUUGGCUGCUGGAGGUCCAUGACUCACAGCUCCGCUCCAGCCCACCCAAUUCCUUGGCCUCUGGUGGCUCAGGCCGAGCCCUCGGCCCACUGCCCGGCACAGCUGGGCAGCAUUAAGGACUUGGCACCCUCGGAGCUGGCCUCAGCUCCUCCAGGCCCUUCUGUUGUCAGGGGCUGACGGAGUCAGGACAGCCAGCGAGGGAGGAAUGUGUCUGCUCCGGGCCGGGCUGACACCGGGCUGCAGGGCAGGGUCAGCGGGGGUGAGAGCAGCUGCGGAUGACAGGCCUGGGCUGCCGGCUCCAUGUCCUGGGUCCUGGGUCACUCAGCGCUCCCAGGUAUGAAAGGGUUUUUGGGGACCCUCUGCUCAGGUCCCUGAGCAGUGGGAAGCAUCCAGAGGGGCCCCGUAGAUCUGAGCUCUGCAGCACAGCGUAGCCACCCUCACGCCUCAGCGUCCUUCUGUGCCCAGUUCUUCCUGCAGGCUCCUCCCCUGCUGCUGCAGUCACACAGACCACAGUUUGAGGACAUCCACCCAUCUCCACAACCCUCCUAGGGCCCAUGUCACUGAGCUCUGCUCCCAAGUUCAGGCCAGACUAGAACUCUGGAACAUUCUAGAUUCUAGGACUCUGCCCAUUCUGGGCCUGCACAGAGAUCACUGGCUCAUCCCACCAGGCACUCCUCUCUGUACCUGUGCUUGUGCUGACCUCGCCACUGUCCCCACCUCCCCAUCUCCACCGUGUCCUCCACAUUUUCUUCUUCUUGAGGCAAAUCUGACAGGAACCAUCUGCACAGAGACCUGGCCAGGCCCCUGGAGAAGCCCGGAGCGCUGGGAACUCACAUCAAGCCCUGCCAAGAACCUCAGGCCACCGAAGAACACUGGACAUGGCCUCCUGCUCCAAUGUACAUGUGCCUGUCCCAGUGGGCCAUGAGCGGUCUAAGGAAGUCCCUGAGAUGUUUCUCUUGAGGACAUCUGAUUCCCGCAUGGGCUGGCCAGGGGCGGGCACUGAGGUUCUCCAGCUUCACUCCUUCAGGUUUCUCAAAGAUAGGGCACAGCCUGGGUUCCUGGAAAUAGACACAGGUCUGAGUCUCAGCAGCACAGCCCCAGGCACCUCAUCUGUCAAGGCCGAGGCAGGCUGGUCUUUCUCCUUCAAAGAUGCCCUGCCCCUGGGGCCCUGGCCUGGCCUGCUAGCUCAGUUGCCUCUGCAGCCCUCUCCUCCUCUCCAGUGUCUUCCUGCAGUCCUGGGUCCGUUAGCGUUGCUGGAUGCUGAUGGCCCUGGGAGACUCCAGGCGGAAACACUGGAAAAGUCUCCUCUUCUGUCCUCACAGAAGACAAGAAUGAUUUUCUGAUUAGAUGUAAGGCAGCGGGAAGAGCAGAGGGGGUGGGCUCAGAGCUGGGAUGAUGCCCCAAUCUGGCUGUAGCUUCCAUAACUCAGUUAUGGUACCCCCCCGCCAUGAGUCAGGCCCCAUGGUGCCCCUCAGGCCUCCAUCUCCCUGAUCAGUGAGUCAGAAUCUUGGGUUGCAUGAUUUCACAGACACUGCCAGUUGCAGCCUUUUGGAAGACAAUGUGUUGCAUACCUUCUGGACUUAGCCCUUUGGGUAGCUCAGACCAGAGAGGGGUCCCAUCAGAUUUGGAGUGUGGAUCAUCCAGAGGAGAUGACCCUUGGAUGCUGGCUCAGCAACCACUCAGAGGCUCUGUGUCCUGGACCUGGAGGGCAGAGACAGGCCCCCCACCUUCUGAGCCCCAGCCUGCAGUGGUCUUGGACCCACUGGCCUCCCUGGCAGCUGAGUCUUGGCCUGCUGGCUUGGCUGGUUACAGGGAGACCUCAGGUGAGGGGCUCCUCUGAAGCCCACUCAGGAUGGGGCAUCCUCCUGGGGGGGGCUCUCUGCCUCUUGCAGAAUAAAGCCUUUGCUAGGCUUGGGGUCUCAUAGUAGUGGCUCUCAUGCCAGGUCAUCAAAAGGCUGUGAGGCCAGACCCCUGAGAAGUCUAUGAUGGAGAGGAGGGUUGGUAUCCCAGACAUGUCAGGCUCUGCCUUAAUCCAGGCUGUGUAGUCUUGGAGAACCAAGGUCUCUGUGUCUCUGUGGUCAGAAUGAUAGGAAAGAAACAUCCUUGCCAUCCUAUCCCAUGGCACUAGGCUCAGAGGAGAUGACAUCUGAAGAGCUAAGGGCGUGGCUCAGUGUGACCAAUCCCACUGCUUGUGAGAUGCACAUGAAGGCUGGUAGUGCAGGCUGCAAGAAGCACUUUAACAGCGGAGAGGAAUUUAGAACAGGUUUGCUGCCGAGAGGACAGCGGGUGGAUUUCCAAGUGCGAUCUGGGUCAGAGAUUGGGCUUUGCAUGAGGGUUGGAGGAUGCUGGGAAAAGGGUCCAAGCAGUAAAUGUGAUUAUCUAAAGAAUGUCUUCUUUGGGGUCACUCAGCACCUUGUAGAUUUCCUGGGAGCACCUGCAUCGCGUUUAAAAUUAUGCUCACAGCUACAGUUUAAUAGAAACCAUUCUCCUCUGGCUUGCAGAGGAUUUUAGCUUUAGAUAAGGAGCUCAGGAGGUCUGUGCAGGUCUUGUGGAGAAGUCAGACUGGGGCUCAUUUGGAGACACGAGGCCUUGACCAAAAGGUUUCUUGCUGUCUUAUGACCUCGUACCAAGAUCAAGAAAUAUGAAACUCUCUCAGUGGAGCCCUUCGUUGUGGGGUGGGAGGGCUUUAACUGGUCACCGAGUCUCACCAUUAAGGGUGUUAGUCCCGUGACCAGAGAGUGACCACUAUACUCAGUACGAGGAAAGGAGACGUGGUAGAAGCAGGGCCGUGCCCCAGGGGAGAGCCCUGUAGUGGACAUCAGAUCUGACCUCCAGCUUGUCACUUCCUGAGCAAGAUGUCGCCAAACUGCUGGCCGCCAAACACGGAUUCCCUGCUUACUAACCAAGAACAAUAUAGGGGUCCCCCACCUCUGUCAGUUAGGUUGGCUUUCCCAUAAGCAGACGCCAGUAUCUAGCUAUGAUUGAAGAAAUUGAUUGUGUGAUGCUGUAGGAAGGGAGGGGAGGGAGCUGAGAAUGGAGGGUGGAGGAAGCAGGGCCGGGGAAGGGGAGCAGGACCUCGGAGCCCUGGCAGGUGUGGGGGACAAAAGCCUCCUCCGGAGUAGUGUAGGAACCUGAGCUGUUCACCCACCAGUCAGGCUCCUCCUUAGCAAAGCUUCUGGCAAAGCGGGACUGUAUCAACUCUGUUGGCCGGGAAGCCGCCCAGGACCCUGGUGCAGCACACUUCUGGUUGUGCCUGAGUGGGUCUCGGAGGCAUGUCCUUGGGGCCCAUACGGGGUCCCAGGUCCCUUCCUCUCUGGCUCUGUUCCCCUGCUCUGCGUCCUAUUGCUGUGAACUAAGCAGCCAUUCCGCCACGAUGUUCCUGCCUCAGAGUCAUCUGACCAUGGACUGAAUCUCCUUAAAACCCCAGCUGAAUUAAACCUCUCUUCCUUUCAA